ACGCUUCUCCUAAAGACUAAGUCAUGCAUGUCUUCGAAUAAGUAGGAAGCAAUUCUCUCUGAAUCUGCGAACGGCUCCGCAAACCAGUUGUAAACCACAGCAAGCCCGCGACGGUCGGACUUCGGUCUGGCCUGAGCGAUACGGAUAACCCUGGUAAUUCUAAGGCUAAUACGUGUAUGGUAACACCCGGUGGACCGGCUUCGGCUGGGAAAUCGGGAGACGAGUGAUGGAAUGUUUGGACUUACCAGGAACGGGGC
RNAcentral lists this ribosomal RNA (257 nucleotides) under uncultured Lamproderma sp. RNAcentral's name for it is "partial 18S ribosomal RNA". It matches the Rfam family "Eukaryotic small subunit ribosomal RNA", at positions 28 to 231 of the family's 1831-position model. Lineage: Eukaryota; Evosea; Eumycetozoa; Stemonitida. The record is from RNAcentral.